GAUGAAGAACGCAGUGAAAUGCGAUAAGUAAUGUGAAUUGCAGAAUUCAGUGAAUCAUCGAAUCUUUGAACGCACCUUGCGCCCUUUGGCCAUUCCGAAGGGCAUGCCUGUUUGAGUAUCAUGAACACCUCAACUCUUCAUGGUUUUCCGUGAUGAGCUUGGACUUUGGGGGUCUUGCUGGCCUAUGGUCAGCUCCUCUAAAAUAAAUCAGCUUGCCAGUGUUUGGUGGGUAUCACAGGUGUGAUAACUAUCUACUCUUGUGGUUUUCCACCAGGUAACCUUCAGCAGUGGAGGUUCGCUGGAGCUCACAGAUGUGUCUCUCCUCAGUGAGGACAGCUCUUUGAAUGUUUGAUCUCAAAUCAGGUAGGACUACCCGCUGAACUUAAGCAUAUCAAUAAGCGGAGGA
This 406-nucleotide unclassified non-coding RNA is filed under the name soil metagenome. RNAcentral's name for it is "partial contains 5.8S ribosomal RNA, internal transcribed spacer 2, and large subunit ribosomal RNA". The stretch from base 1 to 121 matches the Rfam family "5.8S ribosomal RNA", at positions 35 to 154 of the family's 154-position model. The record is from RNAcentral.